GGACUUUAAAGAUCAGCCAGUUUCAACCCCUCUGCAUUGGAUAGGGACACUUUUGACUUGAUCAGCUUGCUCAGAGCGCCAUCCAGCCUUGUUUUGAAUACUCUCAGGGGUUCCCUUAAGGUGCUGGAAGUCUGCAAUUAGGCCACCCUAAAGCCUUCUCUAAUAUAUGUCGUCCUCUGCCGCUAGCUGAAUCUUUCCCAAAGUCACAUAAACAUGAGCUUCCUGUGCCCCAGUUUCUGCCUGCUGCCUCUUGUCCUGCUGACUGGCAUCACCGAGCAGAUCCUGGCUCCAUCCUUUUGACACCCUCCCUUCAGAUGGCUUAAGAAAAGAGAAGAUUUCAUGCUGUACAGGAAUGUUUCUGAAGUCAUUUCAGCAAUAAUGAACCUUUUGUGAUUUUUGGAAGAAUAUUUAACCCUUAAAGUACACUGACUCAUUCCUGUGGCCAUAGAAUUCUCCUUAUGUGCAACUCCAAGAAAGUCAUUACAUUCUGAGCUACUGGCAGACAGCAGUGUGAGUGUGGCAAUUCCAAGUUCUACAGCAGUUUGGUGCAAAAAAAUGCAUCCAUAACAUAGGAGGUAUGAACACAGGUGCUGGAAUAAAGGAUCUAGUACUGUUCCCAGGGUCCAGUGCAUCAGAAGAUACAUUUCAGCGCUGCCUAGGGCUAGUAGUCUCACUGUGAAAACCCCUCAAGACCUCUCCAGCACCACUGUUUUGAUGACAUUCUACUUAAUGAAAGAAAAUAAUUGGGGGAAGUUUUUUUCUUGCUCUAACUGUACUUGAAUCCUGACCAGGAACUCAUUGCUGUACACAAGAAGCAAGCAGUACCAUGACCAUAGCAAGGCAUGAAUGACAGGAAUGAAUUGCAGAAUGGGGACGGAAAGAGGGAAGGAGGGAGACAACCCUUGCUGCUUCUAAUCUUGAGACAGUACUAUAGUUAUAGUAUACAAGCUGGAAUCUUGGCAUGACCAUUCUGGGCAAUGUACACCACCUCUGUAUACGACUG
This is a long non-coding RNA of Passer domesticus (house sparrow), 1003 nucleotides long. RefSeq lists it as uncharacterized. Lineage: Eukaryota; Metazoa; Chordata; Aves; Passeriformes; Passeridae. The transcript is spliced from 8 exons. The record is from RefSeq and is a predicted model, not a curated record.